UACGAAGGGGGCUAGCGUUGCUCGGAAUUACUGGGCGUAAAGCGCACGUAGGCGGAUUGUUAAGUCGGGGGUGAAAUCCUGGAGCUCAACUCCAGAACUGCCUUCGAUACUGGCGACCUUGAGUCCGGGAGAGGUGAGUGGAACUCCGAGUGUAGAGGUGAAAUUCGUAGAUAUUCGGAAGAACACCAGUGGCGAAGGCGGCUCACUGGCCCGGUACUGACGCUGAGGUGCGAAAGCGUGGGGAGCAAACAGG
This 253-nucleotide ribosomal RNA is filed under the name uncultured bacterium. Its description in RNAcentral is "partial 16S ribosomal RNA". It matches the Rfam family "Bacterial small subunit ribosomal RNA", at positions 524 to 776 of the family's 1533-position model. The record is from RNAcentral.